RNAcentral lists this long non-coding RNA (249 nucleotides) under Gossypium barbadense (sea-island cotton). Its description in RNAcentral is "long non-coding RNA (GBAR_LNC012862)". The record is from RNAcentral. Lineage: Eukaryota; Viridiplantae; Streptophyta; Magnoliopsida; Malvales; Malvaceae.
UACGAGUUAAAUACUAUUCAUUUACUAAAACAUGUCAUGUCGUCCUUUAGAUGGGCCUCCAAAGCCCAAAACAUACUUCGAGACCAAACCAGAAUUAAAUCGAAACCAUAGGGAAUUUUUCGCAAAAUCCCAAAGUUUUUUUUUUGCUCAAUAUAACCCCUUUAUAAAUAUCUAACCUUCCCUGCAAAUUUUAAAACCGAGACCAAUCCAACCAACCAAUUCAUUUCAAUCAAUUUGAUACCAAAUUAU